CGCGUACGUGCACGUGUCCGCGGGAUUCUGCCUGAGGAGCAGGCUCGUCGCAGAGGCUUGGGGUCUGCUCUGAAAGCUGGGCCUCAGGAAGGAACUGUCUCGCUUUCGCCCAACCUCUUGCCCCCUGCUCUCUGACUCUUUUGUAACCUGAUCCAUCUCAAGAGCCCGGGACAGUACCUGGCACAUCAUAGGUGUUCAAUAAAUAUGUGUUGGAUGAAUGAAGAAGGAAGGCUGCCAGGGAAAAGAGGGUUGUCAGGCAAACAUCUUAAACUCCCGCAGAGGGCACUAGAAGCUCAGAAAGUCAAAGGACAGAAGUGUGGCCAUUACUCACUACCAGGACUAGAGAAGUCAUCCUCAGGUCCCACGUUCGGCACCCCUGUUGACCCCUUCUUCUGGACCCACUUGGCCCCAGUGGCCGUCGGGAUCCAGCUCCAGCCACAGAGAUCAUUUGGCGUGUCAAAGCUACACGUUUGCAUCAUGCAGACUGAGGGGAAAGAAAAGAGGAAGAACGAAGCUUUUUCUAAGAGGAAGGAGCUCAAAAAAAUGUGGAGUCAGAAUUCUGAGUCUUUUUUUUUUUUUUUUUGU
Molecule: long non-coding RNA, 585 nt
Organism: Sus scrofa (pig)
Lineage: Eukaryota; Metazoa; Chordata; Mammalia; Artiodactyla; Suidae
Source: RefSeq, a predicted model, not a curated record